CAGUAUAUAUUUUAAUUAAAAUAUUAAUUUUGGAGAUUAAUGAUAAUAUGAAAAAAUAUUUAUACUGA
This 68-nucleotide transfer RNA is filed under the name Chaetosiphella stipae. RNAcentral describes it as "tRNA-Pro". Lineage: Eukaryota; Metazoa; Arthropoda; Insecta; Hemiptera; Aphididae. The record is from RNAcentral. RNAcentral also lists the same sequence under 1 other name.